Molecule: transfer RNA, 74 nt
Filed under: Loxodonta africana (African savanna elephant)
Lineage: Eukaryota; Metazoa; Chordata; Mammalia; Proboscidea; Elephantidae
Rfam family: tRNA
About the family: Transfer RNA (tRNA) molecules are approximately 80 nucleotides in length.
Source: Rfam by way of RNAcentral
ACCUGGGUGGUGUAAAUGGUUAACACAUUCAGCUGCUAAGUGAAACAUUGGAGGUACAAAUCCCCCCAGAGGCA